Molecule: ribosomal RNA, 376 nt
Filed under: uncultured bacterium
Lineage: Bacteria
Description: bacterial SSU rRNA
Rfam family: Bacterial small subunit ribosomal RNA
Source: RNAcentral
GUAGUCCACGCCCUAAACGAUGUCAACUGGUUGUUGGGGAAGGCAACUUCCUUAGUAACGAAGCUAACGCGUGAAGUUGACCGCCUGGGGAGUACGGCCGCAAGGUUAAAACUCAAAGGAAUUGACGGGGACCCGCACAAGCGGUGGAUGAUGUGGAUUAAUUCGAUGCAACGCGAAGAACCUUACCUACCCUUGACAUGUACGGAAGCCCGCUGAGAGGUGGGUGUGCCCGAAAGGGAGCCGUAACACAGGUGCUGCAUGGCUGUCGUCAGCUCGUGUCGUGAGAUGUUGGGUUAAGUCCCGCAACGAGCGCAACCCUUGUCACUAGUUGCUACGGAAACGGGCACUCUAGUGAGACUGCCGGUGACAAACCGGA